Molecule: transfer RNA, 74 nt
Filed under: Minicystis rosea
Lineage: Bacteria; Pseudomonadati; Myxococcota; Polyangiales; Polyangiaceae
Description: tRNA-Glu
Rfam family: tRNA
About the family: Transfer RNA (tRNA) molecules are approximately 80 nucleotides in length. Their secondary structure includes four short double-helical elements and three loops (D, anti-codon, and T loops).
Source: RNAcentral
GUCCUCAUCGGCUAGUUGGUUUAGGCCGCUGGACCCUCACUCCGGAAACGCGGGUUCGAAUCCCGCUGGGGACA